Molecule: ribosomal RNA, 774 nt
Filed under: uncultured Neocallimastigales
Lineage: Eukaryota; Fungi; Neocallimastigomycota; Neocallimastigomycetes; Neocallimastigales
Description: partial large subunit ribosomal RNA
Rfam family: Eukaryotic large subunit ribosomal RNA
Source: RNAcentral
CGCAUCUGUGCAUGCAGCAUAUCAAUAAGCGGAGGAAAAGAAACUAACAAGGAUUCCCCUAGUAACGGCGAGUGAAGCGGGAAGAGCUCAAAUUUGAAAUCUUAAAGGGUUUCCCUUUACGAAUUGUAGUUUAAAGAAGUGUUUUCUGUUGAGGUUUUGGUAAAAGUUCUUUGGAAUAGGACAUCAUAGAGGGUGAGAAUCCCGUAUUUGACCUUUACUUUCAACUUUGUGAUACACUUUCAAAGAGUCGGAUUGUUUGGGAAUGCAGUCCAAAAUGGGUGGUAAAUUUCAUCUAAGGCUAAAUAUUGGCGAGAGACCGAUAGCGAACAAGUACCGUGAGGGAAAGAUGAAAAGAACCUUGAAAAGAGAGUUAAACAGUACGUGAAGUUGUCAAAAGGGAAGCGUUUGACACCAGUGUUGUUUUUCUGAAAAUCAAUUAAAGAACUGUUUAUGCUAAGCUGUUUAGACUUUAUCAGCUAUCUGUUUAGUUUUGAGCUUUUCUUUAAUGCACUUUUCAGUUAACAAGUCAACAUCAAUUUCUUUUGCUGUAAAAAAGCUUGAGGAAGGUGGCUUGAGAUUCGUCUUAAGUGUUUAUAGCCUCUUGCCUAUGCAGUCGGAGAGAUUGAGGUCUGCAGCGUAGAUCCUUCGGGGCUAAAUGCAUUUGUGCUAAGUUAUAGCAUUUUAUAGACAACUUGUUGACUAUGAUUUGUCUUGUAGCUUACUCGCUUAUGUUAUUUUACCUACGCUUAGGAUGUUGAGUCGUAGAGCACGCAG